RNAcentral lists this ribosomal RNA (474 nucleotides) under uncultured bacterium. Its description in RNAcentral is "bacterial SSU rRNA". It matches the Rfam family "Bacterial small subunit ribosomal RNA", at positions 335 to 802 of the family's 1533-position model. The record is from RNAcentral.
ACUCCUACGGGAGGCAGCAGUAGGGAAUCUUCCGCAAUGGGCGAAAGCCUGACGGAGCAACGCCGCGUGAGUGAUGAAGGUUUUCGGAUCGUAAAACUCUGUUAUUAGGGAAGAACAAACGUGUAAGUAACUGUGCACGUCUUGACGGUACCUAAUCAGAAAGCCACGGCUAACUACGUGCCAGCAGCCGCGGUAAUACGUAGGUGGCAAGCGUUAUCCGGAAUUAUUGGGCGUAAAGCGCGCGUAGGCGGUUUUUUAAGUCUGAUGUGAAAGCCCACGGCUCAACCGUGGAGGGUCAUUGGAAACUGGAAAACUUGAGUGCAGAAGAGGAAAGUGGAAUUCCAUGUGUAGCGGUGAAAUGCGCAGAGAUAUGGAGGAACACCAGUGGCGAAGGCGACUUUCCUGGUCUGUAACUGACGCUGAUGUGCGAAAGCGUGGGGAUCAAACAGGAUUAGAUACCCUGGUAGCGAGUAG